This is a non-coding RNA of Coffea arabica (coffee), 449 nucleotides long. NCBI's taxonomy places the organism in Eukaryota, Viridiplantae, Streptophyta, Magnoliopsida, Gentianales, Rubiaceae. The record is from RefSeq and is a predicted model, not a curated record.
GCAGAAGCAAGGCUCUGUGGUUCUCUGGCAAAUUUGACUGAGAGGUUGAGAACAGAUCAUAGAGGCUAAAAAACCGCAGAGGUGUGGAAUUGGUUGGCAGAUUGAGGGGUCAUCUUGCUGCCAUAUAAGAUCAUUGUUGUAGCAGGUUGCGGGCCUAUAGCAUGUUGUAACUUGGGAGUGCAGAAGUUUGAUUGAGCUGAACAGUGGACAAAAAGAAUUCAUGGAUGUGCUCUGCUUCAACAAUUGAUUCAGAAUGUUUCCAAGUCACAGGACUUGCAACUCUUUUUCCAUUUUAUGUAUCUCUGACACCAAGAAACAGAAAAUAGAAAACAACAAAACCUGAGUUUUUCAUCAAAUUAUGGGCUGCACGCAAAAAACUAGAAAUAUUGGAUUAAGGCGCUACUAAAAUGAAUUUAUAUGGAGGAGCAAACAAAUGAAGUAUUCAAGAA